Molecule: long non-coding RNA, 215 nt
Organism: Lagopus muta (rock ptarmigan)
Lineage: Eukaryota; Metazoa; Chordata; Aves; Galliformes; Phasianidae
Exons: 3
Source: RefSeq, a predicted model, not a curated record
AGAUUCUUGCGUACCUGAGGCCCUCUGAGGGAAGAGAAGAUUACAUUGUAGAGGUCAGAAUUUUAUAAUUUUGUUUUAUGGAGCAAGCCAUUGGGAUAUUAUAAUGAUAUGUCAGCUAAGCACCUACAUGGCUCUACAAGGUCAAACAGAGUUACAAGGGGACAAUUUCAUCAGUCUCCAGCCCUUGUGAUCAUGUCCCAAAAUGACUAGUCAGG